AUUACAUUUCCAAAGUAACCUUCCCAACACUGGUCACAUCAAACUUUACUCAGAUGUUGAAUAUAAUUAGUCACUCGCAUUCACUUGUUUUUCAGAGGUCCAUAAUCAUGAACCUUGUGCACAACUGUUUAGCUUUUAUGACUAUGCAGGUAACGUCAAUGAAGAAAAUCUCAACAGAAUCCUCAAGGACAGAAGAAAAAAUGUUAUCGGCUGGUACCGGUUUAGAAGGAACACUCA
Molecule: long non-coding RNA, 237 nt
Organism: Sinocyclocheilus rhinocerous
Lineage: Eukaryota; Metazoa; Chordata; Actinopteri; Cypriniformes; Cyprinidae
Exons: 3
Source: RefSeq, a predicted model, not a curated record